AUGGGGACUGGGUUCUUUGGUUGUCGCCGCCGGACUCAGCGAAGGACGAAAAAUCGAGAUGAUCCAGUGGAGAAUAGAUGCCACGGGCUGAAGAAAGGAGGCGACGGUUUCAGAGCACACACCUUGAAGCGGAGAGGCGGCAGGGGAGUGGGUCUGGAUGGCAGAGGGAGCGAGACGAGGCAACAUCAGAUGGGAGGCAUGGUCAAAAGAGGCGCCGUAGGAGCAAUCGUGCGUGUGUGGGGGCCAUACCAGGGAGAAGGAAAUGGGUGGUCGGUUUUCCAGGGCUUUUUUUCCUUGCAUCGGGAAAUGGGUUCGGUUGAAAAAACGAUGAGGUGGGGAGGUCACGCGAAGGGUGGAGACGUGGGUACCAUAUAA
Molecule: ribosomal RNA, 375 nt
Filed under: Triticum aestivum (bread wheat)
Lineage: Eukaryota; Viridiplantae; Streptophyta; Magnoliopsida; Poales; Poaceae
Description: partial small subunit ribosomal RNA
Source: RNAcentral